ACCCGGAGGAAAAGAAAUCAAACGAGAUGCCCACAGUAGCGGCGAGCGAAGAGGGCAGAGCCCAAACCUGUAAGCUACGGCUUAUGGGGGUUGAGGACUGACGUAAUUAAGGCCAGGCUUAGCUGAACUACCUGGGAAGGUAGGCUAGAUAAGGUAAGAGCCCUGUAAGCGAAAAGCAGAGCCUUAAGGUCAGUAUCCAGAGUACCACGGAGCACGAGGAAUUCUGUGGGAAGCAGGGGGGACCACCCUCCAAGGCUAAAGACUAACUGGCGACCGAUAGCGCAUAGUACCGUGAGGGAAAGGUGAAAAGAACCCCGGGAGGGGAGUGAAAUAGUACCUGAAACCGUAUGUCUACAAGCAGUCGGAGCGAAAGCGACGGCGUGCCUAUUGAAGAAUGAACCAACGAGUUAUCUGCACUAGCGAGGUUAAGUGGAAGACACGGAGCCGCAGCGAAAGCGAGUCUGAAAAGGGCGGAUAGUUAGUGUAGGUAGACCCGAAACCGCAGUGAUCUACCCAUGUCCAGGUUGAAGCGCAGGUAAAAAUGCGUGGAGGACCGAACCGGUGAGCGUUGAAAAGCUUUCGGAUGAGAUGUGGGUAGGGGUGAAAUUCCAAUCGAACGCGGAGAUAGCUGGUUCUCCCCGAAAUAGCUUUAGGGCUAGCCUCAGGUAGUAAGUAUAGGCGGUAGAGCACUGAUCGGGCUAGGGGCCAUAAAGGUUACCGAACCCUGUCAAACUCCGAAUGGAUAUACUGCAGAGCCUGGGAGUCAGACUACGAGUGAUAAGAUCCGUGGUCAAAAGGGAAACAGCCCAGACCACCGGCUAAGGUCCCAAAUGCCGUACUAAGUGGAAAAGGAUGUGGGGAUUCAUAAACAACCAGGAUGUUGGCUCAGAAGCAGCCACCAUUUAAAGAGUGCGUAAUAGCUCACUGGUCGAGAGUCCCUGCGCCGAAAAUUUCCGGGGCUAAAGUACGGAACCGAAGCCGUGGCUGUGCAUGUAAGUGCACGGGGUAGGGGAGCGUUGCCACAGGGGUGAAGCUGGUCUGGAAGGACUGGUGGACUUGUGGGAAGUGAGAAUGUUGGUAUGAGUAGCGAAAAGAAAGGUGAGAAUCCUUUCCACCGAAAGCAUAAGGAUUCCUGAGCAACGAUCGUCGUCUCAGGGUAAGUCGGGACCUAAUCCGAGGCAAAGAGCGUAGGAGAUGGACAACAGGUUGAUAUUCCUGUACCGGCAGCAAUUGUUUGAGCGAAGGAGUGACACAGAAGGGCAGGCAGGCGCGAGACUGGAUUGUCGCGUGCAAGCGUGUAGGGUAGUGUACAGGCAAAUCCGUACACUGAAAGCCUGAGGCGUUACGCGGAGCGAGCAGAGAUGCGAGCGAAGCUGCUGAUCCCACACUGUCGAGAAAAGCUUCUAGUGAGAGAGCUGCCGCCCGUACCGUAAACCGACACAGGUAUGCGGGGAGAGAAUCCUAAGGUGCGCGGGAGAACCCUCGUUAAGGAACUCGGCAAAAUGUACCCGUAACUUCGGGAUAAGGGUAGCCGUCUUGGUGAAGGAACUAGCUUCUGGAGCUGAAGGCGGUCGCAGAGAAGAGGCCCAAGCGACUGUUUACCACAAACACAGGUGCCUGCUAAAGCGAAAGCUGACGUAUAGGUGCUGACACCUGCCCAGUGCUGGAAGGUUAAGGAAGGAUGUCCGGGCAACCAAAGCAUUCGACCGAAGCCCCAGUGAACGGCGGCCGUAACUAUAACGGUCCUAAGGUAGCGAAAUUCCUUGUCGGGUAAGUUCCGACCCGCACGAAAGGUGUAACGAUUUGGGCACUGUCUCAACGAGGGACCCGGUGAAAUUGAAAUACCUGUGAAGAUGCAGGUUACCCGCGACUGGACAGAAAGACCCCAUGGAGCUUUACUGUAACCUGACAUUGGGUUUUGUUGUAUUACGUACAGGAUAGGUGGGAGGCUUAGAAGGCUGGACGCUAGUCUGGCUGGAGCCGGCGUUGGGAUACCACCCUUGAUACAACGGAAUUCUAACCGAGAGAGUAACGAAAUCCGGGACAGUGUCAGGCGGGCAGUUUGACUGGGGCGGUCGCCUCCGAAAGAGUAACGGAGGCGCCCAAAGGUUCCCUCAGCGCGGCCGGAAAUCGCGCGAAGAGUGUAAAGGCAGAAGGGAGCUUGACUGCGAGCCAAACACGGCGAGCAGGUACGAAAGUAGGGCUUAGUGAUCCGGUGGU
RNAcentral lists this ribosomal RNA (2220 nucleotides) under human gut metagenome. RNAcentral's name for it is "bacterial LSU rRNA". It matches the Rfam family "Bacterial large subunit ribosomal RNA", at positions 208 to 2427 of the family's 2925-position model. The record is from RNAcentral.